This is a long non-coding RNA of Leopardus geoffroyi (Geoffroy's cat), 2819 nucleotides long. RefSeq lists it as uncharacterized. Lineage: Eukaryota; Metazoa; Chordata; Mammalia; Carnivora; Felidae. The transcript is spliced from 2 exons. The record is from RefSeq and is a predicted model, not a curated record.
GAAAUAAACUGUAAAAAAAAAUCAGUGUUGUGUUGUUAACAGAAAUGCAUUCAGCUGGGCUCGCCACCCGCUGGAAACCUGAAACCCCGUUUGCUCAGUCUCCAUUCUUGGGCCCAGCGAUGGGGACGGGCGCACUUCAGAGAAAAUAAAGGAGCAAGAUGUGGCACCAUCGAGCAGACGUGUGGGGAGCUAGAAAGUUCCGUAGGGUGGGCCAGACCCCCCGUGAGGGGGGAUGCUCGGCCCAGCCUGUCCUGCCCCGUGGGGCUGCGGCCCAGUGAGGCGAGCUGACCAGUGGGGACAUGGUGACUGAACACGCGUCCUUGUCUCAUCUGUGCUUCUGAAGCCUCUCAGGGCCUGGGCAGCGUAGGGGUGAUGCCCGCGGGGACCGGAGGCCCCCCGAUGUCUCUCCGUGAGGCUGGGAAAGGAGACGGACCCCUGGGUGUCUGCAGGCCAGAGAGGAUGUACCUGUUUCCUACUGUGGAAGGACCUCCUUCUAUGGUGUCACGUUUGGCGUUUCUUACCAUUGCAAAGCAGUGACUUAACUCAAGUUCAGGCCCCCUGCCCCGAUACCCCCACGGGGCCAUGGAGUUCUCGGGGCAGCUAGGGACGGGAGAGGCCGCAGGGGUCUGGUCCCCCAGACCUGGAGGAGCCGAUGCCACCAGGCAGGACACGGCUCCGUACUUUGUGUAUCCAGAGCGCUCGCAGGUCAGAUUUCUGUCUGGAGUGGCUGCUGGCUCAGCACCGUCUCCCUGGGACUCAGACGAUGCCUGUGGAAGGUUCGAGGGCUGACCCGGGAGUCCGGGGACAGCUCCUGGUGCCCUGGGGUCCUGGCUCUCUGGAAGGCUCUCCGGAAGGCUUCCCUGGCCUUGGACUUGAGGUCUUGUGUCCCCAACAGUUACUGAGCCUCUGCAAGUGCCAGCAGGGCCCCACACCUCUUCCUGCUGUGUGUGCUGACACCAGAGGUCUCCUGUCUCUGUUCAGGAGGAGGUGGACCCCUCCAGACAGGCAGUGCCUCUGUCUUCUCGAGUCCACGCGGUGUGGGCCUUGUGUACGCUGGGCCACGAACCUCACAGAGGUUCUGAGGUUUCUCCGUUGUCCUGUUAUCUACAUAGGUGAGGUCAGAGAGGUGUUCCUCUGCAUUGACGGCCGAUGUCAGUCAUUUACACUUGAGUACGAAUGAGGCCCUGAUGCUGAUCGGGCUACCAGGAGCUGGUGUGGACAUAAGGUCUCACUGUCUGACCCUGACUUUGAAGACCAACUGAAACAGGUGUUGCUACCUGCCUGGCGGGAGGGCCUCUGGCAACUUCCAGUCCACUAAAUGCAGGGGGAAACUGAGCGCAUCUGAGGCCCACAGGGGUCCUCGAGGUCAGCUCCACGUCUUGUGGCUCCAGUCGUAGCCCAGACUGAGACCGCUUGCCCCAAGGCCUCCCCCUUUUGGGACUCCUCAUGCCCCGUUUGCACCUAGAGGCCCUGGCUGGUUUUGGAAUCCUGCUUCCCAGGCUCUGUUCCAGGCUCUGUUCCAGGCUCACCAUGGAAGCCCUUCUGCUUCUCAAAUUCCUGGCAGAUUCCUGUGCUCGGGGCUUCAGUGACAGAGGCUGGACCUGAUGCACAAAGGAGCACGUGCUGCUGCCUUGUCAGGGCUCUGGGAACCCGGUCGCAGGCUUGUCCCUGCAGUGGCGCUUCCAGGGUCGGCGUGGGUCACCGUGGCAAAGGGGCGCGCUGCCCUCGCUGUGCCCUUCCUGGCGGAUCUGUAUCCAGCAAGCACUCCGCACCCCGCGAAUCCUCGUGACGCUCGUCAGAGGGAGAUGCUUUUGUUCCUGUUUUAGAGGUAGACGAGGCUCAGGGAAGGGGCACGCCCAGGGCCCCCGGGCAGGUGGAUCAGAGCAGGACCAUGAGCCCCGAGCCUGUGCGCUGACCCCCGACGCUCGGACCCCAGAGCUGCUGGUUCUCCGGGAUUCUGGGCCAUCGGCUGCGGCCCAGGCGGGCCGGGCUCUGGCUGGUGGCGACAGGCACGCGGGGCCCCUGGGGCUGGUCUCUCCCUCCCUUGGCCGUCGGCCGAGUCACCAGGAGCGCGGCCGUGGGGCUCAGCUCCAGGCUGUUCCUUUUCUCCCACAAAAGCUCCUCGGCCACCGUUUCUCCCGGCACCUGCCUCCCCGAGCAGACCAAGAGCCUGGGAGCGACGCGGCCGGGACAGGGGUCCCUUGGGGUCCAGACCCCUGCCCAGGACCCUGUGCUCUGUGUUCCAGCUGCUCUUCUGAUUUAUUGGACGCCGCCUUUCAAGUGACAUUAAAAACCACCCCUGAAGUUCCUGAAUCCCGUCCAGUGGCUCCCUACCUGGAACUGCCGGGGACCGUCAGGACGGGGUGCCCGGCCCCGGCGGCCUGAGCGUGGACAGGGACUCAGGGCAGCCCAGCAGCACAGGAGACAAGGGGCACCUUCAGCAUCCACCUCACCUUCCGUGUCAUUGCCCUUGCGUGAGAUGGCGGGUCUCCAGUGACAGUGUCCCCAUCCUGGAAGUUCCGUGCUGGCUGCAGGUUAGCUCUGGGGCCCGGGCUCUUCCCUGGGCUCCGGUGAGGGCCACCGAGUCGCCGCCUGGACGUGCGGGCUCUGGACGCAGCACACACGUGCUCCUCUGAAAUUCCAAAUUGCGAAAACUUCGUCUCAGUCAGCGUAGCAGAGAGUUUGGAGAGGGGGCGGUAGGCGCUGGAAAUUAAACGGCACCUUUUGGCAUCUCACGUCGGUGAGGCGGCCAACUGAUUAUUUUUAUAUUACAAUCCCCAGGCGUUGUCAAAUUGAUUAAUAAAUUCGCUGAAAACCCA